GUGGGGAAUUUUGCGCAAUGGGGGAAACCCUGACGCAGCAACGCCGCGUGAGUGAUGAAGGCCUUCGGGUCGUAAAGCUCUGUCAGAGGGGAAGAAGUGUGGGGUGGCUAAUAUCCAUUUCACUUGACGGUACCUUCAAAGGAAGCACCGGCUAACUCCGUGCCAGCAGCCGCGGUAAUACGGAGGGUGCGAGCGUUGUUCGGAAUUAUUGGGCGUAAAGCGCGUGUAGGCGGUUUUUUAAGUCUGAUGUGAAAGCCCUGGGCUCAACCCGGGAAGUGCAUUGGAAACUGGGAGACUUGAAUACGGGAGAGGGCAGUGGAAUUCCUGGUGUAGGAGUGAAAUCCGUAGAUAUCAGGAGGAACACCGGUGGCGAAGGCGGCUGCCUGGACCGAUAUUGACGCUGAGACGCGAAAGCGUGGGGAGCAAACAGGAUUAGAAACCCCGGUAGUCC
RNAcentral lists this ribosomal RNA (451 nucleotides) under uncultured bacterium. RNAcentral's name for it is "partial 16S ribosomal RNA". It matches the Rfam family "Bacterial small subunit ribosomal RNA", at positions 354 to 796 of the family's 1533-position model. The record is from RNAcentral.